RNAcentral lists this unclassified non-coding RNA (161 nucleotides) under uncultured Ascomycota. RNAcentral's name for it is "sequence contains ITS2". The record is from RNAcentral. Lineage: Eukaryota; Fungi; Ascomycota.
CAAACCUCAAGCUCUUCUGUAGCUUGGCUUUGGGGCAUCUGCUUGGCUUUAGGUCUUGCAGGCCCUGAAAAUCGACGGCGGACCUGUUAGGCCUCUAAGCGCAGUAAAUCUUCUCGCUUCUGAGUCAUAACUAGCUCUUGCCUCACCUAUAACUUUCUUAA